Molecule: ribosomal RNA, 253 nt
Filed under: uncultured bacterium
Lineage: Bacteria
Description: partial 16S ribosomal RNA
Rfam family: Bacterial small subunit ribosomal RNA
Source: RNAcentral
UACGUAGGGUGCUAGCGUUGUUCGGAAUCAUUGGGCGUAAAGCGCGUGUAGGCUGUUAAUUAAGUCGGGUGUGAAAUCCCUGGGCUCAACCGAGGAAGUGCAUCCGAAACUAAUUAGCUAGAAGAUGGUAGAGGAAGGUGGAAUUCCAAGUGUAGAGGUGAAAUUCGUAGAUAUUUGGAGGAAUACCGGUGGCGAAGGCGGCCUUCUGGGCCAUUCUUGACGCUGAGACGCGAAAGCGUGGGUAGCAAACAGG